AGUGAACGCUGGCGGCAGGCCUAAUACAUGCAAGUCGAACGGCAGCACGGCAGAGCUUGCUCUGUGGGUGGCGAGUGGCGGACGGGUGAGGAAUACAUGGGAAUCUGCCCAGUCGUGGGGGAUAACGUAGGGAAACUUACGCUAAUACCGCAUGCGCCCUUCGGGGAAAGCCGGGGACCUUCGGGCCUGGCGCGAUUGGAUGAGCCCAUGUCGGAUUAGCUAGUUGGCGGGGUAAUGGCCCACCAAGGCGACGAUCCGUAGCUGGUCUGAGAGGAUGAUCAGCCACACUGGAACUGAGACACGGUCCAGACUCCUACGGGAGGCAGCAGUAGGGAAUAUUGGACAAUGGGCGAAAGCCUGAUCCAGCCAUGCCGCGUGAGUGAAGAAGGCUUUCGGUUGUAAAGCUCUUCGGUUGGGAAGGAAAUUGCAUGGGCUAAUACCCUGUGUAGAUGACGGUACCUGGAGAAGAAGG
RNAcentral lists this ribosomal RNA (472 nucleotides) under uncultured bacterium. Its description in RNAcentral is "bacterial SSU rRNA". It matches the Rfam family "Bacterial small subunit ribosomal RNA", at positions 29 to 491 of the family's 1533-position model. The record is from RNAcentral.